This 253-nucleotide unclassified non-coding RNA is filed under the name uncultured Pseudobdellovibrionaceae bacterium. RNAcentral's name for it is "uncultured Bdellovibrionaceae bacterium contains 16S-23S intergenic spacer region". It matches the Rfam family "Bacterial small subunit ribosomal RNA", at positions 524 to 776 of the family's 1533-position model. Lineage: Bacteria; Pseudomonadati; Bdellovibrionota; Bdellovibrionia; Bdellovibrionales; Pseudobdellovibrionaceae. The record is from RNAcentral.
UACGAGGGGUCCUAGCGUUGUUCGGAAUCAUUGGGCGUAAAGCGGGUGUAGGCGGCCAUGUAAGUCAGAAGUGAAAGCCCCGGGCUCAACCCGGGAUGUGCUUUUGAUACUGUGUGGCUUGAGUGCUGAAGAGGUCAGUAGAAUUCCUGGUGUAGAGGUGAAAUUCGUAGAUAUCAGGAGGAAUACCGGAGGGGAAGCCGGCUGACUGGUCAGACACUGACGCUCAGACCCGAAAGCGUGGGUAGCAAACAGG